This 253-nucleotide ribosomal RNA is filed under the name uncultured bacterium. RNAcentral's name for it is "partial 16S ribosomal RNA". It matches the Rfam family "Bacterial small subunit ribosomal RNA", at positions 524 to 776 of the family's 1533-position model. The record is from RNAcentral.
UACGGAGGGGGCUAGCGUUGUUCGGAAUUACUGGGCGUAAAGCGCACGUAGGCGGAAUUGUAAGUCAGGGGUGAAAUCCCGGGGCUCAACCUCGGAACUGCCUUUGAUACUGCAAGUCUCGAGUCCGGAAGAGGUGAGUGGAAUUCCAAGUGUAGAGGUGAAAUUCGUAGAUAUUUGGAAGAACACCGGUGGCGAAGGCGGCUCACUGGUCCGAUACUGACACUGAGGUGCGAAAGCGUGGGGAGCAAACAGG